This 468-nucleotide ribosomal RNA is filed under the name uncultured bacterium. RNAcentral describes it as "partial 16S ribosomal RNA". It matches the Rfam family "Bacterial small subunit ribosomal RNA", at positions 28 to 507 of the family's 1533-position model. The record is from RNAcentral.
GACGAACGCUGGCGGCGUGCUUAACACAUGCAAGUCGAACGGAAAGGCCCUGCUUUUGUGGGGUGCUCGAGUGGCGAACGGGUGAGUAACACGUGAGUAACCUGCCCUUGACUUUGGGAUAACUUCAGGAAACUGGGGCUACUACCGGAUAGGAGCUCCUGCUGCAUGGUGGGGGUUGGAACGUUUCGGCGGUUGGGGAUGGACGCGCGGCUUACCGGCUUGUUGGUGGGGUAGUGGCUUACCAAGGCUUUGACGGGUAGCCGGCCUGAGAGGGUGACCGGCCACAUUGGGACUGAGAUACGGCCCAGACUCCUACGGGAGGCAGCAGUGGGGAAUAUUGCACAAUGGGCGGAAGCCUGAUGCAGCAACGCCGCGUGCGGGAUGACGGCCUUCUGGUUGUAAACCGCUUUCGCCUGUGACGAAGCGUGAGUGACGGUAAUGGGUAAAGAAGCACCGGCUAACUACGUC